This 445-nucleotide ribosomal RNA is filed under the name uncultured bacterium. RNAcentral's name for it is "partial 16S ribosomal RNA". It matches the Rfam family "Bacterial small subunit ribosomal RNA", at positions 354 to 796 of the family's 1533-position model. The record is from RNAcentral.
GUGAGGAAUAUUGCGCAAUGGAGGCAACUCUGACGCAGCCAUGCCGCGUGCAGGAAGAAGGCGCUACGCGUUGUAAACUGCUUUUAACCGGGAAGAAAACCCAGGACGUGUCCUGGGUUGACGGUACCGGAGGAAUAAGCCCCGGCUAACUUCGUGCCAGCAGCCGCGGUAAUACGAAGGGUGCAAGCGUUAUCCGGAUUCAGUGGGGUUAAAGGGUGCGUAGGCGGAGCGUUAAGUCAGUGGUGAAAUCCUGCAGCUUAACUGUAGACUUGCCAUGGAUACUGGCGCUCUUGAGUGCGCUUGAAGUGGGCGGAAUGUGCCGUGUAGCGGUAAAAUGCUUAGAUAUGGCACAGAACACCAAUUGCGAAGGCAGCUCACUAAGGCGAUACUGACGCUGAGGCACGAAAGCGUGGGGAUCGAACAGGAUUAGAAACCCUGGUAGUCC